ACUUAAAUUGAAGAGUUUGAUCAUGGCUCAGAUUGAACGCUGGCGGCAGGCCUAACACAUGCAAGUCGAGCGGCAGCGGGAAAGUAGCUUACUACUUUUGCCGGCGA
Molecule: ribosomal RNA, 107 nt
Filed under: Aeromonas salmonicida subsp. salmonicida
Lineage: Bacteria; Pseudomonadati; Pseudomonadota; Gammaproteobacteria; Aeromonadales; Aeromonadaceae
Description: partial 16S ribosomal RNA
Rfam family: Bacterial small subunit ribosomal RNA
Source: RNAcentral